This 688-nucleotide ribosomal RNA is filed under the name Haemophilus sp. HGPR49. RNAcentral describes it as "bacterial SSU rRNA". It matches the Rfam family "Bacterial small subunit ribosomal RNA", at positions 69 to 747 of the family's 1533-position model. The record is from RNAcentral. Lineage: Bacteria; Pseudomonadati; Pseudomonadota; Gammaproteobacteria; Pasteurellales; Pasteurellaceae.
GUAACAUAAAGAAGCUUGCUUCUUUGAUGACGAGUGGCGGACGGGUGAGUAAUGCUUGGGAAUCUAGCUUAUGGAGGGGGAUAACUACGGGAAACUGUAGCUAAUACCGCGUAGAAUCGGGAGAUGAAAGUGUGGGACCUUCGGGCCACAUGCCAUAGGAUGAGCCCAAGUGGGAUUAGGUAGUUGGUGAGGUAAAGGCUCACCAAGCCGACGAUCUCUAGCUGGUCUGAGAGGAUGACCAGCCACACUGGGACUGAGACACGGCCCAGACUCCUACGGGAGGCAGCAGUGGGGAAUAUUGCGCAAUGGGGGCAACCCUGACGCAGCCAUGCCGCGUGAAUGAAGAAGGCCUUCGGGUUGUAAAGUUCUUUCGGUAGCGAGGAAGGCAUUUAGUUUAAUAGACUAGGUGAUUGACGUUAACUACAGAAGAAGCACCGGCUAACUCCGUGCCAGCAGCCGCGGUAAUACGGAGGGUGCGAGCGUUAAUCGGAAUAACUGGGCGUAAAGGGCACGCAGGCGGUGACUUAAGUGAGGUGUGAAAGCCCCGGGCUUAACCUGGGAAUUGCAUUUCAUACUGGGUCGCUAGAGUACUUUAGGGAGGGGUAGAAUUCCACGUGUAGCGGUGAAUGCGUAGAGAUGUGGAGGAAUACCGAAGGCGAAGGCAGCCCCUUGGGAAUGUACUGACGCU